UGGUUCUGGCAUCGAUGAAGAACGCAGCGAAAUGCGAUAAGUAAUGUGAAUUGCAGAAUUCAGUGAAUCAUCGAAUUUUUGAACGCAUAUUGCGCCUUUUGGUAUUCCGAAAGGCAUGCCUGUUCGAGCGUCAUUACAACCCUCAAACUUAGGUUUGAUGUUGGGCAGAUUUGCCAUGAUGGCAUGCCUAAAAUUUAGUGAUGGUAACCUUUAACCACAGGCGCACACAUGUCGCUAAUGUUGGGGAUCGGUGUCCAUCUUCAACCCAAUAGUUAUCAAUGUUGACCUCGGAUCAGGUAGGGAUACCCGCUGA
This 313-nucleotide unclassified non-coding RNA is filed under the name uncultured fungus. RNAcentral's name for it is "partial contains 5.8S ribosomal RNA and internal transcribed spacer 2". The stretch from base 1 to 133 matches the Rfam family "5.8S ribosomal RNA", at positions 22 to 154 of the family's 154-position model. The record is from RNAcentral. Lineage: Eukaryota; Fungi.